RNAcentral lists this long non-coding RNA (201 nucleotides) under Elaeis guineensis (African oil palm). RNAcentral's name for it is "long non-coding RNA (EGUI_LNC065024)". Lineage: Eukaryota; Viridiplantae; Streptophyta; Magnoliopsida; Arecales; Arecaceae. The record is from RNAcentral.
GAUAAGACUCCAAGCUUAUCCAAAUUUCAGAUGAUACAAGAGGUUCCUUGGAGCAAAAGGACUCCAAGGCACCUCUUGAUCUUUGAAGUCCACACCCCACAAAAUUGGCAUGAAAACUUUUGGAUAAGCACAAAGGAAAGGGUGCCCCACACCAAGGGGUGCCACACAAUAUAUGCACAAGAGAGAAACCCCACACACCAA